Molecule: long non-coding RNA, 1936 nt
Organism: Pezoporus occidentalis (night parrot)
Lineage: Eukaryota; Metazoa; Chordata; Aves; Psittaciformes; Psittacidae
Exons: 2
Source: RefSeq, a predicted model, not a curated record
UUGGGUCUUUUGCAGCCUCCUGGCAGGUUAGAAACAGCCUCAGCAGAUGCAUUGAGUGGGAGCAGUCUUAAAACUGAGGGUUUGUAGUGAAAGCUUGUAAAUGCAGGUGCAGGGGCUUUACUGUGCACAGGCUUUGACUAAAAUGUGUUAAUGUGAGCUGGCAGGAGCAGUUCUGUGGGAUGAUGGGGGGUGUCUGUUUCUAAUAGCAGUUGUUAUAUAUGCUGAUGGAAACCCCUCUAUACUACUUGGAAGGAAGGACAUGGUUUGUAGUUCUUCUUUCCAGGAACAUUAAUGUCCUUGGCCAGGUAUUGAAGUGGAGCUGUAGCAGCUUCUGGAAGCCCUGGAUUUGGGUCUUUUUUUGGUUUGGUAAACCACCCCUGUUCAUUGAUCUGAUGCCUUAAGUCCAUGUUCCUCUGAAAUCAUUAUUCACACAUGCUGUGAGAUUGUAUUAAUGAGUAUUUCCAUCCCCUGCUUAAAGGAAAACUAUUCUCUGUAACAAAGUCUCUCCAAGAAGUUACCCUCAUAUUUCAUGCUACUUUUUUGUUGAACUGCUUUCUCUUUGCCCAACUCCCUGGAAACAAGAAUAUUUGAGAGACUGUCCCUUGUGCUACGUGCCUUUGCUGGAGUCUUUUUGGAAGACCCUUGGAGGGGUCUCAUCGUUGCUUUCCAUGGUGAAGAAAUUGAUACUACCCUGGGCACAUCUGCAGCGAGCUCCCUGCCCAGAAAAAGACCCUAAAAUGGGUUAUUUCGUGCAUCUCUCUCUAUUUAAUCUUCUGCCGUAGGGUGGCACUGGUGAGCUGACCAAGGGAUUCGCUUCUGGUGCAGUCCAAGCGGUGCUAGGGCUGUUUUGUGGUGAUUCCUGCAGAGUGCAGCUUCUGCCCACACAACUCCUCCACAGCUUGCUUGGAAACUUCAGAAAAUAGACUGAAUAUUUGUGGAACCCUAGAAAAUAAGUUUGUUUUUUCAUUGCAUAUUAUCACACCGCUCUCUAAUCCUUCACACAACCCCCCAGCUUGGCUCUUCAGUGAGAUCAAAUGAAACAUGGAUAGUUUUUCACUUGCAGGGAUGAAUGAGUGGCACAGAAAACAAUUCUUUUAUUUGAAAUGAAGGGGGAAAUCUGCACAAAUGGUGAAUUCUACAACGUUUACAAGGGACAGUGGUGUCCCCUUUGGGCAGUCAGAGUGAAGAGUGGAUGAAGAGCCACUGGUUUAAAAAGGAGGACCUAGAGGUGUGAUUUUAAGCUUUUUUCAGGCAUUUACAUGACCUCUGAGCAUUCAGCGCUGUAUUCUUAACAAAACAGCCAGAGUUUAACAUAAAUGCAAAAGCACUGCCUGAUAGGGAUGAUUUUUAGACACCUGUUCUCAAAACUGAAUUAGCACCACUUCUAACAUGACAAAUGACUUUUGUGACCUGUAUCUUCAGUUGAUUUAGAAAGAAAUGCAACUGAACGCCAUGUGCAAUGCACAGAGCUUCCAGAUGUGUGUGCUGGUUUGCUUUUGAUUUAGUUCUUGUGUGCCCAAGUUAAAAUGAUUUGAACUCUGGCAACUUCUCCCCCAGUGUUCCAACCAAGGCCUGAGCACAGCUCAGGGCUCCUCUCUGUACAAACCUGUGAAGCCAUGCAGAACUUUGUUGGCUGUGAAGAGCCAAAGGUAUAAUUUUAACUGAUUAUGAUAGGAAUGAUGAUAAAUAUCAAGGAUACAAAUAGCUCUGAAACAACCUGAGACCCUGAAUUAUUUGCCCAGGGCUGAAAACUGAGCAAAUGGCAGUGGCAGACUGAGGGUGGGCAUCCUUUUGGGAAGGUGGUUUCUGAAACAGAGAUCCCUGUUUGAUGGGCAAAUAGCUGUCUGGUCCAGCAUGCAGUGCAAAGAAAAUGCAUGUAAAAUGAAAUACAUAUGUAUUUUAUGCGUUGAAAAAGUAAAAACCUGUCAUAGUCUGG